RNAcentral lists this long non-coding RNA (527 nucleotides) under Phoenix dactylifera (date palm). RNAcentral's name for it is "long non-coding RNA (PDAC_LNC022485)". Lineage: Eukaryota; Viridiplantae; Streptophyta; Magnoliopsida; Arecales; Arecaceae. The record is from RNAcentral.
GUGCAAAACGUGACAGUCGAUCGAACUCAGCCUCAUAAUCCUCCACAGUCAUACUCCCCUGAGAGAGACUCAGAAACUCCCUCUCCAACUCCCUGAUACGACUGGAAGGGAAAUACUUGGAGUAGAAGGCCAUGCGGAAUCCCGGCCAGGUCACAUAUCCUGCAUCCUGCAUCAUAGUCCUCUCCACAGACUCCCACCAAUGAUGAGCCCGGUCCUGAAGCAUAUAGGUGGCAAAUCUGAUCUUCUCCUCCUCAGUACAACCCAUGGCCCUGAAAGCCUUCUCCAUCUCAUCUAUCCACCAUUCGGCCUCUUGGGGAUCGGUAGUUCCCUUGAAGGCCGGAGGAGCCAACUUCCGGAAUUCUGCAAUGCUCCUCCCCUGAUCCGACGAGCUAGCAGAGGGAUGCUGUGGAUGUGGGUCCCUCUGCUGUCUGACCAGCUCAAUCACCUCCCUGACCAGUUCCAAUACUGGGGUCGAUCCUCCCGCCUGAUCCUGUUCUGGUCGGUCUAAAACUGUCGGAGCAAUCUCC